CCCUUAGAUGUCCUGGGCCGCACGCGCGCUACACUGAGUGUCUGAGAUACGAGUCUGCCUGGUCCGGCAAGGUCUAGGUAAUCGCUAAAAGACACAUCAUGCUUGGGAUAGAUUAUUGCAAAUAUUAAUCUUGAACGAGGAAUUCCUAGUAAGCGCAAGUCAACAGCUUGCGUUGAUUACGUCCCUGCCCUUUGUACACACCGCCCUUCGCUACUACUGAUUGGAUGUUUAAGCGAGGUUCUCGAACUGCUAGCGACUUAGCUUCGGUGAGGUCGCAGUGUGGGAAGUGAACCUAGCUUUGGUGUCUAGAGGAAGUAAAAGUCGUAACA
This 329-nucleotide ribosomal RNA is filed under the name uncultured eukaryote. Its description in RNAcentral is "partial 18S ribosomal RNA". It matches the Rfam family "Eukaryotic small subunit ribosomal RNA", at positions 1470 to 1796 of the family's 1831-position model. The record is from RNAcentral.